GACGAACGCUGGCGGCGUGCCUAAUACAUGCAAGUCGAGCGGACGUUUUUGAAGCUUGCUUUAAAAACGUUAGCAGCGGACGGGUGAGUAACACGUGGGCAACCUACCUUAUCGACUGGGAUAACUCCGGGGAACCGGGGCUAAUACCGGAUAACAUCUAGCACCUCCUGGUGCCGGAUUGAAAGAGGGCUUCUUGCCCUCACGAUAAGAUGGGCCCGCGGCGCAUUAGCUAGUUGGAGAGGUAAUGGCUCCCCAAGGCGACGAUGCGUAGCCGACCUGAGAGGGUGAUCGGCCACACUGGGACUGAGACACGGCCCAGACUCCUACGGGAGGCAGCAGUAGGGAAUCUUCCGCAAUGGACGAAAGUCUGACGGAGCAACGCCGCGUGAGUGAUGAAGGGUUUCGGCUCGUAAAGCUCUGUUAUGAGGGAAGAACACGUACCGUUCGAAUAGGGCGGUACCUUGACGGUACCUCAUCAGAAAGCCACGGCUAACUACGUGCCAGCCGCCGCCGUAA
This 516-nucleotide ribosomal RNA is filed under the name uncultured bacterium. RNAcentral describes it as "partial 16S ribosomal RNA". It matches the Rfam family "Bacterial small subunit ribosomal RNA", at positions 28 to 523 of the family's 1533-position model. The record is from RNAcentral.